GACGAACGCUGGCGGCGUGCCUAAUACAUGCAAGUAGAACGCACAGUUUAUACCGUAGCUUGCUACACCAUAAACUGUGAGUUGCGAACGGGUGAGUAACGCGUAGGUAACCUGCCUGGUAGCGGGGGAUAACUAUUGGAAACGAUAGCUAAUACCGCAUAAUAUUGAUUAUUGCAUGAUAAUUGAUUGAAAGAUGCUAUUGCAUCACUACCAGAUGGACCUGCGUUGUAUUAGCUAGUAGGUGAGGUAACGGCUCACCUAGGCGACGAUACAUAGCCGACCUGGGAGGGUGAUCCGCCACACUGGGACUGAGACACGGCCCAGACUUCUACGGGAGGCAGCAGGAGGGAAUCUUCGGCAAUGGACGAAAGGCUGACCGAGCAACGCCGCGUGAGGGAAGAAGGGUUUCGGAUCGUAAAGCUCUGUUGUAAGAGAAGAACGGGUGUGAGAGUGGAAAGUUCACACUGUGACGGUAUCUUACCAGAAAGGGACGGCUAACUACGUG
This 505-nucleotide ribosomal RNA is filed under the name uncultured bacterium. RNAcentral describes it as "partial 16S ribosomal RNA". It matches the Rfam family "Bacterial small subunit ribosomal RNA", at positions 28 to 507 of the family's 1533-position model. The record is from RNAcentral.